This 460-nucleotide ribosomal RNA is filed under the name uncultured bacterium. RNAcentral describes it as "partial 16S ribosomal RNA". It matches the Rfam family "Bacterial small subunit ribosomal RNA", at positions 338 to 795 of the family's 1533-position model. The record is from RNAcentral.
CCUACGGGUGGCUGCAGUGAGGAAUAUUGGUCAAUGGGCGCGAGCCUGAACCAGCCAAGUCGCGUGAGGGAAGACGGCCCUACGGGUUGUAAACCUCUUUUGCCGGGGAGCAACGGGCGCCACGUGUGGCGCCACUGAGAGUACCCGGAGAAAAAGCAUCGGCAAACUCCGUGCCGGCAGCCGCGGUAAUACGGAGGAUGCGAGCGUUCUCCGGAUUUAUUGGGUUUAAAGGGUGCGUAGUCGGAGCGUUAAGGCAGUGGGCAAAUUGCGGGGCUAAACCCCUUCCCGCCAUUGAAACUGGCGCUCUUGAGUGGAAGAGAAGUAUGCGGAAUGCGUGGUGUAGCGGUGAAAUGCAUAGAUAUCACGCAGAACCCCGAUUGCGAAGGCAGCAUGCCGGCUUCCUACUGACGCUGAAGCACGAAAGCGUGGGGAUCGAACAGGAUUAGAUACCCUGGUAGUC